GCUCUGGUGACUUAGUGGUUAGAGCGGCCGUCUAGGAUGCUGGAGGUCGUUGGUUCGAACCCCAGCCGAGUCAUGCC
Molecule: non-coding RNA, 77 nt
Organism: Potamilus streckersoni
Lineage: Eukaryota; Metazoa; Mollusca; Bivalvia; Unionida; Unionidae
Source: the annotation of a GenBank genome assembly